UGCAGUUGAUACUGGAUAUCUUGAGUGCAGUUGAGGCAGGCGGAAUUCGUGGUGUAGCGGUGAAAUGCUUAGAUAUCACGAAGAACUCCGAUUGCGAAGGCAGCCUGCUAAGCUGCAACUGACAUUGAGGCUCGAAAGUGUGGGUAUCAAACAGGAUUAGAUACCCUGGUAGUCCACACGGUAAACGAUGAAUACUCGCUGUUUGCGAUAUACUGCAAGCGGCCAAGCGAAAGCGUUAAGUAUUCCACCUGGGGAGUACGCCGGCAACGGUGAAACUCAAAGGAAUUGACGGGGGCCCGCACAAGCGGAGGAACAUGUGGUUUAAUUCGAUGAUACGCGAGGAACCUUACCCGGGCUUAAAUUGCAGAUGAAUUACGGUGAAAGCCGUAAGCCGCAAGGCAUCUGUGAAGGUGCUGCAUGGUUGUCGUCAGCUCGUGCCGUGAGGUGUCGGCUUAAGUGCCAUAACGAGCGCAACCCUUGUUGUCAGUUACUAACAGGUUCCGCUGAGGACUCUGACAAGACUGCCAUCGUAAGAUGUGAGGAAGGUGGGGAUGACGUCAAAUCAGCACGGCCCUUACGUCCGGGGCUACACACGUGUUACAACGGGGGGUACAGAGGGCCGCUACCACGCGAGUGGAUGCCAAUCCCCAAAACCUCUCUCAGUUCGGACUGGAGUCUGCAACCCGACUCCACGAAGCUGGAUUCGCUAGUAAUCGCGCAUCAGCCACGGCGCGGUGAAUACGUUCCCGGGCCUUGUACACACCGCCCGUCAAGCCAUGGGAGCCGGGGGUACCUGAAGUGCGUAAACGCGAGGAGCGCCCUAGGGUAAAACUGGUGACUGGC
This 843-nucleotide ribosomal RNA is filed under the name uncultured organism. RNAcentral's name for it is "SSU rRNA". It matches the Rfam family "Bacterial small subunit ribosomal RNA", at positions 622 to 1479 of the family's 1533-position model. The record is from RNAcentral.